UUUCAUAUUCUGAAGGAUAAAAUCGGAAGAUGUAGAGUAUUCAGAGAGAAAAGAAAGGAACACUUGAGAUGAGCAUUUAGGAAGAUUGGAAGCUGACUGGGAGUACAUGGAUACUCCUUGCGGAGCUCUCCCAUUAAAGAACUAAUCAGAAGGAAAUGAGGUUUGAUUUUUGUUUGCAUAUAAUUUAAAGCAAUUGGCAUUCAACUAAAGCGUGACUGUUUUGCACCCAACUAACCUGUGACCCUAAAGGCAGUGAAAGUUUUCAGAUAUUAAACUUUUCCCUUUUUCUAACUCCUCUAAUUUGCGUAGGACUAGUUAGUUUUUGGAUUCACUUGCUGACGAUGUCUUGUAUGUUUUCUUUACCUUGGUGGACUAAGUUGACUCUUUCCUUGUUCAUCCUCAUAUGUAGUUCUGAAGGGAUUUAUCUUACCAAGGGAUAUGAGUGACCAGUAAAUGCUUGUUGAAUGAUAAAUGAUUAUUCAUUUAUUAACAA
This 493-nucleotide long non-coding RNA is filed under the name Bos taurus (domestic cattle). RNAcentral's name for it is "long non-coding RNA NONBTAT007637". The record is from RNAcentral. Lineage: Eukaryota; Metazoa; Chordata; Mammalia; Artiodactyla; Bovidae.